CGAGAGACCUCUGUGAUUAGCUAAGGUGGAACCCUAUGAAUAGAGAUGUGUCAGCUCAAUUUGUACAUGAGGGUAACUCCGGAGAGCAGACCCAGCACUUGGAUGCUAAAUCCAUCAGUUUGAUGUCCAGCUUGGACAGGGGCCGUUUUGCGGUUCUCAGGGGUAGAAACCAACUAGGCGAUACCUAUAAGUCAUAUCGGUCCAUUCCCAGUGGGAAUUUAGUCUUCUCCGCUUUCCAAGCGGUAACGCGCCGUUCGUCCCGAGGAAACAUCUGUGUCCGUAUGUCACUGACAUCCACUGGUUAGUCCCAGAUAGAGUGCAAACCCCGUGUCAGGUGUUUGCGGUGUCCUUUCCGGACUCCGCCAUGAAGACUGAUCCUCUUGAUGAAUCCAUCCGUUAGCCAACGAGUACCAGGGGUGCUUGGUGUAGCGUCUAGGAUGGCCGGUGGAAUGUUCCCGUAGGGUACCGAUGGUUUCUGGCAGUGAGGUCAGCGGGGCGGCAAGAGGACAGGCCAAGUGACCUUCUGGGUACGGGAGAUUUGUCCUUCGGCCGUGAUUGCACAACUGCCAUAGAGGUAACACUGUCGGAAUGAUACCUGGUGCGGCCAGCUGGGGGUCACCCAGCGUGCAAGAGGGGGUCACCCAACAAGCACAAGCAUACCAUGCAGUAUAGGCCUGCAAGGGAGGGGGUCACCCUCAGUCUGAACAUAAUCGGACACUGUAGGUACAGUGGUGCGGCCAGCUGGGGGUCACCCAGCGUGCAAGAGGGGGUCACCCAACAAGCACAAGCAUACCAUGCAGUAUAGGCCAGCAGGGGAGGGGGUCACCCUCAGUCUGAACAUAAUCGGACACUGUGGGUACAGUAGUGCCGAAGUGGUUAGCCGUAUAAUGAAGUAACCAGACAUUGCCAGUCCAGCAGUGUAGACGGCAGGAGGGGGUCACCCUCAUAUAACCAGAACCGGGCAUUGCAGAUCCAGCAGUGCUGUAGGUAAGAGGGGGUCACCCUCAGUGUGGUAUCAUAGAGGUCUGUACACCCAGCAGUGUAGUCAGCGAGAGGGGGUCACCCUCAUUAUGGUUAUAAUGGGACCCUGUAGGUCCAGCAGAGUAGUCCACAGGAGGGGGUCACCCUCAGUAUCUGCGUAUUGCAGGGCACUGUAAGAACAGAAGCUCAAUCAGUGGGAGGGGUACCCUCUUUUAUGGGAAUACCCGGAUGCUGCAGAUCCAGCAGUGCAGACUGCAG
This is a non-coding RNA of Pelobates cultripes (western spadefoot toad), 1239 nucleotides long. The record is from the annotation of a GenBank genome assembly. Lineage: Eukaryota; Metazoa; Chordata; Amphibia; Anura; Pelobatidae.